CCUACGGGAGGCAGCAGUGAGGAAUAUUGGUCAAUGGGCGCGAGCCUGAACCAGCCAAGUAGCGUGAAGGAUGACUGCCCUACGGGUUGUAAACUUCUUUUAUAAAGGAAUAAAGUGAGGCACGUGUGCCUGUUUGUAUGUACUUUACGAAUAAGGAUCGGCUAACUCCGUGCCAGCAGCCGCGGUAAUACGGAGGAUCCGAGCGUUAUCCGGAUUUAUUGGGUUUAAAGGGAGCGUAGAUGGGUUGUUAAGUCAGUUGUAAAAGUCUGCGGCUCAACCGUAAAAUUGCAAUUGAUACUGGCAGCCUGGGGUAUAGUUGAGGUAGGCGGAAUUCGUGGUGUAGCGGUGAAAGGUUUAGAUAUCACGAAGAACUCGGAUUGCGAGGGAAGCUUACGACACUGCCACUAACAUGGAGGAUGGAAGGUGUGGGUAUGAACAAGGAUUAGAUACCCGUGUAGU
Molecule: ribosomal RNA, 459 nt
Filed under: uncultured bacterium
Lineage: Bacteria
Description: partial 16S ribosomal RNA
Rfam family: Bacterial small subunit ribosomal RNA
Source: RNAcentral